UACAGAGGUCCCGAGCGUUGUUCGGAUUCAUUGGGCGUAAAGGGCUUGUAGGUGGCCAACUAAGUCAGACGUGAAAUCCCUCGGCUUAACCGGGGAACUGCGUCUGAUACUGGAUGGCUAGAGUGUGGGAGAGGGAUGCGGAAUUCCAGGUGUAGCGGUGAAAUGCGUAGAUAUCUGGAGGAACACCGGUGGCGAAGGCGGCAUCCUGGACCACGACUGACACUGAAAAGCGAAAGCCAGGGGAGCAAACGGG
RNAcentral lists this ribosomal RNA (253 nucleotides) under uncultured bacterium. RNAcentral describes it as "partial 16S ribosomal RNA". It matches the Rfam family "Bacterial small subunit ribosomal RNA", at positions 524 to 776 of the family's 1533-position model. The record is from RNAcentral.